UCCCCGGGCAAAUGGCCUGGGGGUUUGGGGAGGAUGCUGACAAAGGGGGGGCACUGCCAAAGACACCAACAGCCUCUCACACCCGAAGCAGGUGGUCCCAGGCCUUCCUGCUCCCAGGCCAGGGCUGGCUCUCCCACCUUCCCCACCCGACGCCGGCCUUGCGUCUCCAGCUCCUGCCCCUUCCGCUGGCCGCCCUUCAUGCCCUCAGUUUGGCUUCAGGCUCCAAUCACCACGGGGAUCAGCCCAUUUCUCAGGGCCUUUGCAUGGGCUGGUACUGAUGCCUGGAAGACAGCCUCCCCAUCUCCCAGCCUGGGAGUCAGCUACCAGGGUCUCGAGCAUCCCUGGCUACGCCCUCCCCUGGGUCAUGAAUCCCAGCCGCCAGCAUCUUCCCCUCCCAGGCUUGCACGUCCGGCCUCCCCUCUGCUUCCAUCUCCACCACCCUCUGCCCGGAGCCACUCACCACCCACCCCUCCGCCUGGCCUGCCCCCUGCACAGUUCACGCCUCCCUUCCUGAACUUGGGAUGUGUACCAGCACUUCACAGUGCACUUGCCUCUUGGAACCUCAGGGACUGUCACACCAGCCCCAGGAUGUCUGCGAGGCCCAUGGAGAUAAGAAAAUUGAGGAGCAGCAAGGCUAGAGGCUAGGACAGUGCCGGGGUCCCCAGCGGGUUCUGUCAGGUCACAGUGCAUUCCCCGUGACCCUCCAAGACCUGGCUCAGGGCCCCCUCCCUGGGAAGCUGGCC
Long non-coding RNA from Myotis brandtii (Brandt's bat), 743 nucleotides. RefSeq lists it as uncharacterized. The transcript is spliced from 5 exons. The record is from RefSeq and is a predicted model, not a curated record. Lineage: Eukaryota; Metazoa; Chordata; Mammalia; Chiroptera; Vespertilionidae.